CAGUUGGGUUGCACGCAUCCUUGUUUUUAAGCAGAAGAUACCAAAUUGGAUUGAACUGUCUUUAUUCACUCAGGGUCCAAUGAAACAAGUGUGCAAGUGCUCUGUAGACCACAGGACAAUGAAGCUCUGGGCCACUCCUCCUCCUCCUCUUCCCCACACUGUGGGCUCUGAGCCACGACGGUUGGGACAUUUCCUGUCUGCUUUUUACAGCUUCCCUGUGUCCUGUAGCCGUCACUUUUGCUUGCAGGAGCACCUUGCCUUCAUUCUGUUUUGCUCUCUCUGUUGGCUUGUGAAAUCGGAUAACAACGCCUGUCAACGGGUCCCUGAGGAUUGAUUAGUACUCGUUGACCUAGUAUGGCAUCUGCGGUGCACUUCCUAGUGGAGGAUUUGUGUCUCUCCUUAACCUGGAACAUCCUCACCUGAAUUUGCCACCAAUCUCAUUCUCAACCAUCUAUGAGGGCUGCCAUAACAAAGUACCACAAACUGGGUGACUUAGAACAACGAAAUCUCUUCUCUCACCAUUCUGGAGGCCAGAAGUCCAAGGUAUACUCCUCAUAAGCCCCUUCAACUCCUCUUUUUGGAAGCAGGUACAAGAUGAGCAGUAAAUGAUAAAGCCAAUAAAAAGGUUCUAACUAUCACAUCUGUAUCUUUUCUUGGACGAAGGAGGAAGGACCUAAGCUUGGGUUAACUCCUGAAUUGACCUCCAAAGUGUGAGAUAAAUAAUGUCUGACUUUGUAACCAUGGAGCCUUUGGGCAGCUGCUGAGCUGCUGAAGGUGUCACAGAGUGCAAAAGGACUGAGGACUAUACAUGGUGAUUGCUUCCACUUUGCAGGGUAGCUAAUAUCCAGUAUUCAGCCAAUAGGCAUUACUUAAAAUGUAGCAUUAUAUAUGUGGUAAUUGAUGGGAAUGAAUAAAUGUAAAUUUAUAUGUUAUUUACUUACAUUGAUAUUUGAUUUAUU
Canis lupus familiaris (dog) is the source of this 959-nucleotide long non-coding RNA. RefSeq lists it as uncharacterized. NCBI's taxonomy places the organism in Eukaryota, Metazoa, Chordata, Mammalia, Carnivora, Canidae. The transcript is spliced from 5 exons. The record is from RefSeq and is a predicted model, not a curated record.